GUGGAGUUGCGGCGGCUAUACAUGCAGUCGACGAACUCUGGUAUUGAUUGGUGCUUGCAUCAUGAUUUACAUUUGAGUGAGUGGCGAACUGGUGAGUAACACGUGGGAAACCUGCCCAGAAGCGGGGGAUAACACCUGGAAACAGAUGCUAAUACCGCAUAACAACUUGGACCGCAUGGUCCGAGUUUGAAAGAUGGCUUCGGCUAUCACUUUUGGAUGGUCCCGCGGCGUAUUAGCUAGAUGGUGGGGUAACGGCUCACCAUGGCAAUGAUACGUAGCCGACCUGAGAGGGUAAUCGGCCACAUUGGGACUGAGACACGGCCCAAACUCCUACGGGAGGCAGCAGUAGGGAAUCUUCCACAAUGGACGAAAGUCUGAUGGAGCAACGCCGCGUGAGUGAAGAAGGGUUUCGGCUCGUAAAACUCUGUUGUUAAAGAAGAACAUAUCUGAGAGUAACUGUUCAGGUAUUGACGGUAUUUAACCAGAAAGCCACGGCUAACUACGUGCCAGCAGCCGCGGUAAUACGUAGGUGGCAAGCGUUGUCCGGAUUUAUUGGGCGUAAAGCGAGCGCAGGCGGUUUUUUAAGUCUGAUGUGAAAGCCUUCGGCUCAACCGAAGAAGUGCAUCGGAAACUGGGAAACUUGAGUGCAGAAGAGGACAGUGGAACUCCAUGUGUAGCGGUGAAAUGCGUAGAUAUAUGGAAGAACACCAGUGGCGAAGGCGGCUGUCUGGUCUGUAACUGACGCUGAGGCUCGAAAGUAUGGGUAGCAAACAGGAUUAGAUACCCUGGUAGUCCAUACCGUAAACGAUGAAUGCUAAGUGUUGGAGGGUUUCCGCCCUUCAGUGCUGCAGCUAACGCAUUAAGCAUUCCGCCUGGGAGUACGGCCGCAAGGCUGAAACUCAAGGAUUGACGGGGGCCCGCACAGCGGUGGAGCAUGGUGGUUUAUUUCGUUCGGAUUGUAGGCUGCAACUCGCCUACAUGAAGUCGGAAUCGCUAGUAAUCGCGGAUCAGCAUGCCGCGGUGAAUACGUUCCCGGGCCUUGUACACACCGCCCGUCACACCAUGAGAGUUUGUAACACCCAAAGUCGGUGGGGUAACCUUUUAGGAACCAGCCGCCUAAGGUGGGACAGAUGAUUAGGGUGAAGUCGUAACAAGAGGUUUCCCCCU
Molecule: ribosomal RNA, 1167 nt
Filed under: Lactiplantibacillus pentosus
Lineage: Bacteria; Bacillati; Bacillota; Bacilli; Lactobacillales; Lactobacillaceae
Description: bacterial SSU rRNA
Rfam family: Bacterial small subunit ribosomal RNA
Source: RNAcentral